CCGUUUUUUCUGCCACAUUCGGAGAACAACAAACAGGCGACGAAUGGUUCAGUGAGGCAUUCCUUUCUGCCUUGGACUUCUCUAUCAGAUGAUCAAACAACCCGAUAUCUUCCUUUGAAUGUUUCUCGAUGCUAGCUAUGGCAUGGUUCUUCUUUUUCUUCUCGUUCGGCUUCUUUACCUUGUUGUUGUCAGAACUCUGCAAACUUACAUUUGUCUUGUAAAACUCAUCAUCGCGUUUAGCAAGCAUACCGGGCUCUGUUGGUUGCAGUUUCCCUGCAAAA
Long non-coding RNA from Ipomoea nil (Japanese morning glory), 281 nucleotides. RefSeq lists it as uncharacterized. Lineage: Eukaryota; Viridiplantae; Streptophyta; Magnoliopsida; Solanales; Convolvulaceae. The record is from RefSeq and is a predicted model, not a curated record. The transcript is spliced from 2 exons.